AUGGCACACCACAAGCAGCAGCAGCCGCCGUGUGGACUUGGCUCAAGUACUCGCGCCGUAGCACUUCCCUCUGUAGCAGCUCUCACUCGGAUCAACGCAAAUGGCGAGGGCGGUCCACCAGCUCUCCUUCUCCGCGCCGAGCAUGAGGUGCUGUCGCCGAAGCGUCGGCUGCUGCUGCGGAAGGUGCCGGGCGAGCACGGCCCGCCGUUGCUGGGCGCGCUCAAGGACCGGCUCGAGUACUUACACGGGCCAGCGUCCGCGCGCACUGCUCCACUAUGGUAUCAGAUAGGUUUCCUUCGAUCCUGCUCUAAUCGCCAUCGCUACAUCGCCGUCCUCGCUACAUCGCCGCCGACCCAUGACUUCCGCUGCUGA
This 372-nucleotide ribosomal RNA is filed under the name Triticum aestivum (bread wheat). RNAcentral's name for it is "partial small subunit ribosomal RNA". Lineage: Eukaryota; Viridiplantae; Streptophyta; Magnoliopsida; Poales; Poaceae. The record is from RNAcentral.